This 822-nucleotide unclassified non-coding RNA is filed under the name Leishmania donovani. RNAcentral's name for it is "gene:unknown". The record is from RNAcentral. Lineage: Eukaryota; Euglenozoa; Kinetoplastea; Trypanosomatida; Trypanosomatidae.
AAGCCAAGACAAGCAAUCGAAGAGAAACCCGAGAAAAAAAAAACAAGCUUACGCGAACAAAGGAAAAAAGUUAAGCAGCUUAAAGGGAAACGCCGAAUAUAUAUAUAUAUAAACUUUUAUCUUCUAUUCCUUUCGUCUGUUGGGUUGAUUCCCUCCCUCUCGUGUGCGUGUCUGCAUCGGCGCCGUUGUUGGGUUUCUCGUUGGCUCGUUCGUCUGUUUCUUCGGUAAUUCAGCCUUUGUCGUGUCGUGUUCUUCUUUGCUUGAGUUUUUUUUUUGGAGUUGUCGUUUUCCGCUUUCGCCUUCUCCCCCACUCUCCGGUGCGGACUUUUAAGCCAAAAAAAAAAGCAACGUCUCUCACAAAGCCGCACGUCGAUCUGUGGACAGCAGCGGCCACAACGAAAGGAAGGAAAACCGGAAAGCGGCAAAGAGAGAGCGCUCGGAAUAUCGAAGCAAGCGAACGCACGGCGGCAGAGCGAAGAGAAGCAGGAGAGUCACACUUCACCAUCGCCUCUCCAAAAACGUUCUUUUUUUUCGGGGGGUGUCUCCAUCUUCGACUUCUGACUGCUGCUGUGGCGUUCUGUUUCGUUCUGUUUUUCGCCUUGCGCCUUGGUCAGCUCCACCGCAUCUACUUAGCCUUAGCUCUACUCUUGUUUUGUGUAGCACGCUCUCCGCAUACGCUAUUCUUUUUUUGGUUUUUGUAUGUGUUGUUGUGUGUCUGUAUCGGUGCAACAACCCUUUGUUCCUGUUUUACUCCUCUGCGUCUUUCCGCAUCACACUAACUCCUUUCUCUCCUCGUCUCGCUCACUUCCCGAGCAACACCAG